AAUAGAUACCCGGGUAGUCCACGCCGUAAACGGUGGGCACUAGAUGUGGGGCUCUUUCCAUGAGUUCCGCGUCGCAGCUAACGCAUUAAGUGCCCCGCCUGGGGAGUACGGCCGCAAGGCUAAAACUCAAAGGAAUUGACGGGGGCCCGCACAAGCGGCGGAGCAUGCGGAUUAAUUCGAUGCAACGCGAAGAACCUUACCAAGGCUUGACAUAUACGGUCUAUCCCUAGAGAUAGGGAGUGCUUCGGCGUCGUAUACAGGUGGUGCAUGGUUGUCGUCAGCUCGUGUCGUGAGAUGUUGGGUUAAGUCCCGCAACGAGCGCAACCCUCGUCCUAUGUUGCCAGCGGAUAAUGCCGGGGACUCAUGGGAGACUGCCGGGGUCAACUCGGAGGAAGGUGGGGAUGAGGUCAAAUCAUCAUGCCCCUUAUGUCUUGGGCCUCACGCAUGCUACAAUGGCCGGUACAAAGGGCUGCAAUACCGCGAGGUGGAGCGAAUCCCAAAAAGCCGGUCUCAGUUCGGA
Molecule: ribosomal RNA, 520 nt
Filed under: uncultured bacterium
Lineage: Bacteria
Description: bacterial SSU rRNA
Rfam family: Bacterial small subunit ribosomal RNA
Source: RNAcentral